This is a long non-coding RNA of Homarus americanus (American lobster), 126 nucleotides long. RefSeq lists it as uncharacterized. The transcript has 2 exons. The record is from RefSeq and is a predicted model, not a curated record. Lineage: Eukaryota; Metazoa; Arthropoda; Malacostraca; Decapoda; Nephropidae.
CCUCUGAUGUGCUAGGAGGAGGAGCCUGCUACCUUACCUCCGUGAUUUACACCCAUAACAACUACUGCUAGUGGUUUCAGUAACGAGAAGAAUGAAGUGUUAAAACUGAACGAAGAAAAAAUAAAA